UGGUUUUUGCUGCUUCGUGAAUAAUGGCUGGACGACGUCUCGCGUUCAACUCGCCUUCAACCCCUCUCCGCGGUCACCAACUUUCGGCCAGUCCGCAGACAGACGAGAAGAAGCUGCUGAAUGCUCUCAGUGGAUUGUCUCGUCAACUCCAACAACAAACUGCCGAUAUCAACGAGCGGUUCGCUCCACUGGAGCGUUCGGGACUCUGUGGGUUUCUGUCCAUGGAGGAGAGGAACUGAGUCAAAGAAGAGGAGACGGGCGCACAAUCCCAAGAUAGCGGAAGCGGUGCGCCGUCUUCACAACUCCGAGACGAACUACAGGCGCUACGAACCGGAGCAAAGACUAAUCUCGCCUCAUUAUGAGACGGUGACCACGUAUUUGCUCCGGAAAAAGUCCAGAUUUAGACGACGUCAUUGUGUCCGCCUGUGAGACGUAUUUUGAGACGGGACGCAGGAGCUUCAGGUUUUCCCAGCCGGGACACUCAUUGCGGGCGGAAGCUGCGAAGGAUUCAGCGCGGAGUCGAGCGAGAAGAAAGACGCUGCUGGAAUCGAGAUAAAGUGUGCUGGCUGAUGACGAGGUGGAACUCUGGAAAUCCGCCACCGUAGAGCUCACGUCGGACGGAGGGGACGGCGUUGUUGGCGGGGUCUCGAGGUGGAUUGUACGGUCGCCACAUACACACGAGGCGCCUGCACAACAGACCUGCCUCGGAAAACACGGCGCCAGUGACGGUCUACAACCCCGAGGAGGCAAACAGACAGUUUACUGAGCUGUAGUUUUUAAACCGCCGUUACCCAAGUGUGGGCAGAUCCUCACUUUGUAUGUAAGUUGUUGUUUGUGUGUUGUUUCUUUGCAUAAACAUGUGGCAAAUGUUAAUUUUCUCUAUAAAUUCAUUGAUGUCCUUGUUGGUAUCCUAAUAAUAGUGUAGUAGCCUACAUAGGAUAACCAUGAAAUGAAUAUACAGCAUAAUAUGAAUAUAUAAAUAUAUAUGAAUAAAAUGAGGCGGGUGACCAAUAGCGACAGAUCUGCCAACCAAUCACGAGUGAUUGAAAGUUGUGUUUUCAUCCAAUCA
Long non-coding RNA from Gasterosteus aculeatus aculeatus (three-spined stickleback), 1069 nucleotides. Lineage: Eukaryota; Metazoa; Chordata; Actinopteri; Perciformes; Gasterosteidae. The record is from Ensembl.